CGUGAGCGGCGGACGGGUGAGUAACGCGUGGGUAACCUGCCUCAUACAGGGGGAUAACAGUUGGAAACGGCUGCUAAUACCGCAUAAGCGCACAGUACCGCAUGGUACGGUGUGAAAAACUCCGGUGGCAUGAGAUGGACCCGCGUCUGAUUAGGUAGUUGGUGGGGUAACGGCCUACCAAGCCGACGGUCAGUAGCCGACCUGAGAGGGUGACCGGCCACAUUGGGACUGAGACACGGCCCAA
Molecule: ribosomal RNA, 244 nt
Filed under: uncultured bacterium
Lineage: Bacteria
Description: partial 16S ribosomal RNA
Rfam family: Bacterial small subunit ribosomal RNA
Source: RNAcentral